This 468-nucleotide ribosomal RNA is filed under the name uncultured bacterium. RNAcentral describes it as "partial 16S ribosomal RNA". It matches the Rfam family "Bacterial small subunit ribosomal RNA", at positions 28 to 507 of the family's 1533-position model. The record is from RNAcentral.
GACGAACGCUGGCGGCGUGCUUAACACAUGCAAGUCGAACGGAAAGGCCCUGCUUUUGUGGGGUGCUCGAGUGGCGAACGGGUGAGUAACACGUGAGUAACCUGCCCUUGACUUUGGGAUAACUUCAGGAAACUGGGGCUAAUACCGGAUAGGAGCUCCUGCUGCAUGGUGGGGGUUGGAAAGUUUCGGCGGUUGGGGAUGGACUCGCGGCUUAUCAGCUUGUUGGUGGGGUAGUGGCGUACCAAGGCUUUGACGGGUAGCCGGCCUGAGAGGGUGACCGGCCACAUUGGGACUGAGAUACGGACCAGACUCCUACGGGAGGCAGUAGUGGGGAAUAUUGCACAAUGGGCGGAAGCCUGAUGCAGCAACGCCGCGAGCGGGAUGCCGGCCUUCGGGUUGUAAACCGCUUUCGCCUGUGACGAAGCGUGAGUGACGGUAAUGGGUAAAGAAGCACCGGCUAACUACGUG